RNAcentral lists this ribosomal RNA (172 nucleotides) under uncultured bacterium. RNAcentral describes it as "partial 16S ribosomal RNA". It matches the Rfam family "Bacterial small subunit ribosomal RNA", at positions 353 to 524 of the family's 1533-position model. The record is from RNAcentral.
AGUAGGGAAUCUUGGUCAAUGGGCGCAAGCCUGAACCAGCCACGCCGCGUGCAGGAAGAAGGUCCUCAGGAUUGUAAACUGCUUUUAUCAGGGGGUAAAAAGACGCUGCGGCGUAAAUGAAAGUACCUGAAGAAUAAGCACCGGCUAACUACGUGCCAGCAGCCGCGGUAAU